RNAcentral lists this ribosomal RNA (253 nucleotides) under uncultured bacterium. RNAcentral's name for it is "partial 16S ribosomal RNA". It matches the Rfam family "Bacterial small subunit ribosomal RNA", at positions 524 to 776 of the family's 1533-position model. The record is from RNAcentral.
UACGGAGGGCGCAAGCGUUGUUCGGAAUUACUGGGCGUAAAGCGCGUGUAGGCGGCCAGGUAAGUCGGAUGUGAAAGCCCGGGGCCCAACCCCGGAACUGCACCCGAUACUGCCUGGCUGGAGUCCCGGAGAGGAUGGCGGAAUGUCCGGUGUAGAGGUGAAAUUCGUGGAUAUCGGAAGGAACACCAGUGGCGAAGGCGGCCAUCUGGACGGUGACUCACGCUGAGACGCGAAAGCGUGGGGAGCAAACAGG